CCUACGGGAGGCAGCAGUGAGGAAUAUUGGUCAAUGGCCGUAAGGCUGAACCAGCCAAGUCGCGUGAAGGAUGAAGGACCUAUGGUUUGUAAACUUCUUUUAUAGGGGAAUAAAGGUAUCCACGUGUGGAGAUUUGCAUGUACCCUAUGAAUAAGCAUCGGCUAACUCCGUGCCAGCAGCCGCGGUAAUACGGAGGAUGCGAGCGUUAUCCGGAUUUAUUGGGUUUAAAGGGUGCGUAGGUUGUUUGUUAAGUCAGCUGUGAAAGUUUGUGGCUCAACCAUAAAAUUGCCGUUGAAACUGGCAGACUGGAGUGUGUGAGAGGUUGGCGGAAUGCGUGGUGUAGCGGUGAAAUGCAUAGAUAUCACGAAGAACUCCGAUUGCGAAGGCAGCUUACUGGGCCAUAACUGACACUGAGGCGCGAAAGCGUGGGGAUCAAACAGGAUUAGAUACCCGAGUAGUC
This 460-nucleotide ribosomal RNA is filed under the name uncultured bacterium. RNAcentral describes it as "partial 16S ribosomal RNA". It matches the Rfam family "Bacterial small subunit ribosomal RNA", at positions 338 to 795 of the family's 1533-position model. The record is from RNAcentral.